Molecule: ribosomal RNA, 447 nt
Filed under: uncultured bacterium
Lineage: Bacteria
Description: partial 16S ribosomal RNA
Rfam family: Bacterial small subunit ribosomal RNA
Source: RNAcentral
AGCGAACGCUGGCGGCAGGCUUAACACAUGCAAGUCGAACGCCCCGCAAGGGGAGUGGCAGACGGGUGAGUAACACGUGGGAACGUACCCUUUGGUUCGGAAUAGCUUGGGGAAACUCAAGCUAAUACCGGAUAAGCCCUUAUGGGGAAAGGUUUACUGCCGAAGGAUCGGCCCGCGUCUGAUUAGCUAGUUGGUGAGGUAAUGGCUCACCAAGGCGACGAUCAGUAGCUGGUCUGAGAGGAUGAUCAGCCACACUGGGACUGGGACACGGCCCAGACUCCUACGGGAGGCAGCAGUGGGGGAUAUUGGACAAUGGGGGCAACCCUGAUCCAGCCAUGCCGCGUGAGUGAUGAAGGCCUUAGGGUUGUAAAGCUCUUUUACCCGGGACGAUAAUGACUGUACCGGGAGAAUAAGCCCCGGCUAACUUCGUGCCAGCCGCCGCCGUAA